RNAcentral lists this unclassified non-coding RNA (243 nucleotides) under uncultured Gammaproteobacteria bacterium. RNAcentral describes it as "contains 16S-23S intergenic spacer region". Lineage: Bacteria; Pseudomonadati; Pseudomonadota; Gammaproteobacteria. The record is from RNAcentral.
UCCCGUUUGACACGGGCACUCUCCCAUCUCUGGGAGAUUCCGUGCAAGUCAAGGGUAGGUAAGGUUUUUCGCGUUGCAUCGAAUUAAUCCACAUAAUCCACCGCUUGUGCGGGUCCCCGUCAAUUCCUUUGAGUUUUAACCUUGCGGCCGUACUCCCCAGGCGGUCAACUUCGCGCGUUAGCUUCGUUACCAAGGGAAUCAAUCCCCCGACAACCAGUUGACAUAGUUUAGGGCGUGGACUAC